AACAAGGCGUACCUGCGGACCUGCGGAGGGAUCAUUAUCGAGUUGCAAAACUCCAACCCUUUGUGAACAUACCUCAGUCGUUGCUUCGGCGGUGGACGGCCUGUUUUUCGGAACGGCCGGAAGCCGCCGGAGGUUCCAAACUCGUAUUUUUUAGUGUAUCUCUGAGCCUGAAAACAAAUAAUCAAAACUUUUAGCAAUGGAUCU
RNAcentral lists this unclassified non-coding RNA (204 nucleotides) under soil metagenome. Its description in RNAcentral is "partial contains 5.8S ribosomal RNA, internal transcribed spacer 2, and large subunit ribosomal RNA". The record is from RNAcentral.